CUGCAUUCACCAGCCCAGAAAUCACUAACCCCUCUCUUCUUUCAGUAUCCUCCUCUCCCCUUUCAAGAAACCUGGACUCCGGCCUCCAUCGCGCCACCUCUUGUGGCCGAAUUCUCCCGCCCCUCUCUUCUUUCAUUCUCCUCCUCUCUCUCUUUUCAAGAACCAUGAAAUCCAGCCUUCAUCGCGCCCUCUCUUGUGGCCGAGCAGAACAGAGGGAGGCGGCGGCGGUGGGAACUACGGUUGGAACUGACGGUGGUGGCGCCGGCGAGGCAGAGGCGACAGGGGAAAAAAAUCUCUCUCCUCUCAUUUGUUUUAGGUUUUAUUUUGCGUCGUUUUUGGUAAGCUCUUGAGCUCCGAGUUGUUAAUCCUUCAUUUUUUCGUCUUUUAUUCCAAUUUUGGUUUAAUCUGUUGGUGUUUUCUUCGCUAAUUUUUUUUUGGUAUGUGUUGUUUUGAACAUUUUGGUCUAAUUUAUCGGUGACCUUUUGGCGUGAGUUUGAUUGGUAUUUUUGUUUGCAAUCGGUUUGAUUUACUUAUUGUCAUUUUUAUGUUGGUGAAUUGAUGAUGUUGAUCUUUCAGCUGUCGAGCAUCUCCAUAAUGGUCUUCUCUCGAAUUAUGGGUAAAUUUAUGUGCCAUUUUGCUUGUUUAUUGCUUAAUUUUAGUCUUUUUAACCUAAUUCUUGAAAUAUCAGCAACUGACGUUGUAAAGUGCUAAUCAAUAAUCACUUUUAGAAGAUCGGCUCUUGUUGAGCUCGAUACCAAGUCCAGUCUUUCGAAUUUUAGGGAUAUCUUUAUGCCAAUUUGGGUUAUCAAAUUAGACCAGAUCGUUGUAUAUUACAAAAACAGUAAGGUAUUAUUUUGGUCCAGUUAUUUUUGGGUGGUAGUAAAACUUUCUGAUCUUGUCUGGAAGAAAGAUGAACAAACAUUUCUUGUGUUUUCCGCUGCCUCAGUCUAUAUUAGCAGAUUAUUGUCUACGUCGUCUUCACUAGAACAACAAAAAAAUGAGCAAAAAGUAACUACAGAGAUUGUUCGGAGUAUUGGGGUUCAAGAGGGUAGUUUGUGUUUUGAUCAAAGAGGGCUGAAACUCUCAGUAUCGAGUAUCAUAGUAUUAAACGAGUUAUUGUGCGGAAAUCCCACAUCAUUUGUAGACAAUGUAGAGUUAGCGGAUCAAUGAACCUGGAAAUGAUGAAUAGUGAUGCAAUCUUUAGAGAAAGGAGAAAGGAAUUUUGUAAUUUGAACGUUGAUUGUUGAUUUUGGGAAUACUCUUUGACAUAUAGAGGCAAGGACUUUGUACGUCUAGACUUUCCAAGCCUCGCCUAAGCAAGAUAGCUGUUGAGUACUGUUCUGGUUAUUUUAUGAAAUGCAAGCAUCUUGAUCUUUUUUAAACCAUAGUUCCUGUCUUAAUUGAUUGCUCAACUUUCAUGAUAAAUCAUACCCUUAAUAGCUUAUUUGAGGCCCUUGAUAACUAAUUAGUUAGAAUUAGAAACAAACACGUGGUAUAAAAACAUAGCUUACUAAUACUGGUGCUAUUUCCGCAUUGUUAGUUAUAGAAUAUUUGAUUUAGUUAUCAACUUAUGAUUGAGUCUCUGUCAGUUAUUAUUUACCUAUACGGAAAAUGAUUAUGGCAAAUGAAUAUUUGAGUUAGUUAUCACUUAUGAUUAGGCUGAGCUGCAGUUUGACUAAAUUUUGAUACUUUGAAGGACAACAAUCUAUGCUCGUUUUUCCCACACCGUAAUUCAUUUGUGUAUUACGGAGUAUGUUGUAUCUCACGUCUAAACCUCUAAACUUGUACAACUUCUGUUGAAAGGACAGUUAGAUGUUCUAUAGCAGGGCCUUGCAAAAUUCAGAAUUCCGAUUUCCUUUCAUAAUUUCCUUCUCUUUCUCCUUGACGAUAUGAUCCUGGUUAAGAUGCUGUCUAUUGUCAAGUACCUUGAGCUAUUUCUAUUUCAAGAGUAAAAUGUCAUUUUGUUUAUUCUUUAAUAUGAUCCUGUUUCACGAAUUGGUUUUUCUUUAUAAAUGUAUUUUGUGAUUAUCUUGAUAUAUUGAUGUUUAAUUGUAAUAGCAUGUUGCUGAGAUUCCGCAUGAGAAUCAAUUUGUCGUAGACACCAUAAAAAUUGAUCAUGGAACAAUGUCAUAUUUGGAGAAAAUAGACUUCCUCCAAGGUAAUCUACUGGCAGCUCACAGUGUUUGGGUCAAUGAUAAUGAGGUAAUUGCGCUGCAGAGUUUAUUUUUGUUCUCUUCUCUGCAAAAACUUAUAAGAGGGACCUAAUGUUAGUUAGCAUGUUCAAUUUCUUGUCAUGGAUUAGGUAAAUGUUGUGAGUCGUUAUCUGACAAUUUGUUACGCCAGUGGUUGGAAAUUGAAUUCAACUUGUUAGUAAGAUAUAUCCUACAUAACCUUAUCAGACGUUAGAAAGUUCAAAGCUGCCUUUAGUUUCUCUUUUGAAGCUUUGUAUUUACUUAUAUAGUGGAACAACUUUUGAUAUCCUUGUCAAAUAUGUUUGAGAGAGACCUAUUUCAUGACGAUUGGGUAGAGUUGUGGUGGAUCUAUAUAGACGAGAGUUGUAAACUGAGGGUAAACACCUCACCUGUUUGCGGUAUAUCCAAGUAGCAUGCUUUCUUUAGGAAAAAUUGUGCAUAUUAAAUAAUACUUGUAUGUGACUACAGUCUAUUGUCCCUCUAGCAGAUUGAUUAUCUGUCAAAGGCUGAGUAAAGGUAUCUCAUUGUCCAGCUGCAGCAAUGUGGAUGCUUGGAUUUGCACCUAUAGGGAAAAUGAUUAAUGCUGGAGUUUGCGUCUCUCUGGAACAUAUGGAGCUCCAAUCGAACAAUAGACUCAUGGAAUACUGAAUGCAGUUAGUUGGGGACUAUUAUUUCCAAUUGGAGCUAUCAUAGCAAGAUAUGUGAGAACAAUUGAGUUAGCAGAUCCUGUCUGGUUUGAUAUUCAUGUUGCUUGCCAAAUAUCUGGAUAUGCUAUUGGUGUUGUCGGCUGGGCCACCGGUCUUCAGCUCGGAACAAGUCGGUUGGGAUUGUAUACACGAGCCAUCUCUACACCGUAUGCUCAAUGUUUUUGAUGUAUUCCCGGUCAAUGUUCCAGGCUGUUUUUAUUCUCGAGAAUCUCGACUACUACUGUUUUAUUCUUGCUUUGGCUGCUAUUCUGCUCCACUAUUGUUGAUCUGCUGAGAUCUGUCUUGUUAUUUGAAGGCUGGACAUAUUGCAAUGCGGUAGAUGGAGCUUGUUUGAAGAGUCUUGUUUUUAGCAAGAGUUGCCUCAUUUAUCUUUUGGAGUUUGUAUUUUUCAUUGUUGAGCGUGUGUUUGCCCCUUUGUUUUGUUUUUUUAGUAGUUGUAUAGGUUUUGGUUUGUUUUGUUUGUGAGUGGUUGUUUUUUUCAACCUUGUAAAUACACAGUUCGUCUUUAGUUACCAAUUUUAAUACAAUAAUGAUUUAUCCAAAAAAAAAUAAGUAGAGUUGGCAAUUCGGUUA
RNA transcript from Spinacia oleracea (spinach), 3472 nucleotides. It is a transcript of the gene named cytochrome b561 and DOMON domain-containing protein At5g35735, with no coding region annotated. The record is from RefSeq and is a predicted model, not a curated record. The transcript is spliced from 3 exons. Lineage: Eukaryota; Viridiplantae; Streptophyta; Magnoliopsida; Caryophyllales; Amaranthaceae.